This 126-nucleotide non-coding RNA is filed under the name Propithecus coquereli (Coquerel's sifaka). RNAcentral describes it as "U4atac minor spliceosomal RNA (ENSPCOG00000007775.1)". It matches the Rfam family "U4atac minor spliceosomal RNA". From Rfam's summary of the family: U4atac is an essential component of the minor U12-type spliceosome complex which is required for removal of the rarer class of eukaryotic introns (AT-AC, U12-type). These interacting stem loops have been shown to be required for in vivo splicing. Lineage: Eukaryota; Metazoa; Chordata; Mammalia; Primates; Indriidae. The record is from Rfam by way of RNAcentral.
ACCAUCCUUUUCUUGGAGUUGUGCUCCUGUCCAAUGAGCAGGCAGUGAGGGCAGCACUGCUAACACCUACACAACAUGCUCACAUCAACUGGAGCUUUGCUUUACCUUGGUGCAAUUUUUGUAAAA